CCAAACUGUUGCCUCGGCGGGAUCUCUGCCCCGGGUGCGUCGCAGCCCCGGACCAAGGCGCCCGCCGGAGGACCAACCAAAACUCUUAUUGUAUACCCCCUCGCGGGUUUUUUUAUAAUCUGAGCCUUCUCGGCGCCUCUCGUAGGCGUUUCGAAAAUGAAUCAAAACUUUCAACAACGGAUCUCUUGGUUCUGGCAUCGAUGAAGAACGCAGCGAAAUGCGAUAAGUAAUGUGAAUUGCAGAAUUCAGUGAAUCAUCGAAUCUUUGAACGCACAUUGCGCCCGCCAGUAUUCUGGCGGGCAUGCCUGUCCGAGCGUCAUUUCAACCCUCGAACCCCUCCGGGGGGUCGGCGUUGGGGAUCGGCCCUGCCUCUUGGCGGUGGCCGUCUCCGAAAUACAGUGGCGGUCUCGCCGCAGCCUCUCCUGCGCAGUAGUUUGCACACUCGCAUCGGGAGCGCGGCGCGUCCACAGCCGUUAAACACCCAACUUCUGAAAUGUUGACCUCGGAUCAGGUAGGAAUACCCGCUGAACUUAAGCAUAUCAAUAAGCGGAGGAA
RNAcentral lists this ribosomal RNA (555 nucleotides) under Trichoderma harzianum. RNAcentral describes it as "eukaryotic LSU rRNA". The stretch from base 166 to 319 matches the Rfam family "5.8S ribosomal RNA". Lineage: Eukaryota; Fungi; Ascomycota; Sordariomycetes; Hypocreales; Hypocreaceae. The record is from RNAcentral.